RNAcentral lists this small RNA (1566 nucleotides) under Rattus norvegicus (Norway rat). Its description in RNAcentral is "uncharacterized LOC102553505". Lineage: Eukaryota; Metazoa; Chordata; Mammalia; Rodentia; Muridae. The record is from RNAcentral.
ACCUUGAUGAUAAUGGACUGAACCUCGGCUCGGAACCCGACAGCUGGGGAUAACAGGAAGAACCUGUAACCCAGGCCUGAGCUGAGAAGGACAGGGUGAGGGAGAGACAGGGAUACUUCCCAGCUGCCUGUCCUUGUGUCCUGAGGAUAUCUGGAGAGGAGACCAGGCUCUGUAUCCUGAUGAUAAAGGUCCAGCUUCUCUGAAGAACACAGAACUCUGCACUACCAUCUACUCCAGGCUACGAAAGCAUUCACACAGAUGAUGACACUCCAGCCUUGCAACUGGGAGGAGGGCAUGAUUACUAAUAGUAAAAAAAAAAUAUUAUCAAAAGAAGUGUAGUGAUUUGUCAAAGGUCAAAGGUCAGAUCCUGGUGGAAGAACUCUUCUUCAGACUUACAUCCUCUGACUCUGCAUCCAGGGUUCAGGCUUGCAACAUUAGUCAGCUGACGCAACCAGCCUUGAACUCCACUCGUGGCAUCGGGCCCGAGGUCAAGGCCAGAACUAGUUCCCCAGACUGCAAGCUGCCUUCUGUCUAGGAAACACUUUUCUGGACUCAGAGAGAGGGGAGGGGGCAAAAGGGAGAGGGCCAUAGAGAAGUAAGGGAUUGGCAUCAAUUUCCUUUUAUUGAGCAACGGUUUCCGCCAUCUGGACAGGUGACGUCAGCUGUCUGGAUUUCAGCCAUGGUUCUGUGGUUCAGGCGCCCAGGAAAUAGACUUCCGGUUAGAAGGGCUCUGACCUAGGGGAGGAGCCUUGCAACUUGGAAAGACAGAAAUCACUCCAGGGAAAGUUUCACUGCAGGGCAAAUCAGGUUCAGUGGCCAAGAGGAGCUCAGUGGGUCCUUGGUGAGGGGGCAGGAAACUCAGCAAGAGAGGAAUCAUGUCUUUAUCACAGUCGAUUUUCGUGACUCAAGUACAGUGGGAGUGGGUGGGGGAAAGGUAAGCAAAGUCAAGGAAAAAGACACACAAACUGAAGGUAAACACAGGCCAAGAAUAGAAGCCUGAUCCUGACCCUGGAAAUCUUUGGAGGGACACUAAAUCCUCAACAGAGUGGAGCUGGGCUCCUGAAUAACUUCACUUUUGGAAUUUCAAAAGUGAACCUCUUAAAAAGACAACUAAACGACAGAUGCAUUAAUUAAGCUGAAAGCUAAGCUCUGCCCUCUCCCCUCUUUGGUCUCCACAGUCCCCAGGUCAGGUUCCUGAACCUACUUCCUCACCCUGACCCUUCCAGUUUUAUCUCUUGUGGUCCUCACAGUGAUGGCCAGAGGGAAGAAAUAGAUGCCUUUACUUACUUACCUUUUUUUUUCCUUCUUUCUUGAGACAAAGAGUUGCUCUGUAGUCCAAACUAGCCUCAAGCUCACACCAAUCCUCCUGCCUCAGCUUCCUAAGUGACAUUACAGGUGUCAGCAUCAUUCCAGCCUAUGCAUAGGCAAGCAUACAGUGGAGCAGCAUUAAACCUGUCCUCCCCGUGUGCAACCCUCAGCAGACUCCCCUGAGCUAUUAUAGCUCCCCACUCAGGACCCUAAACACGCCCAGAGCCCUGCCCCUGGGCAACAUCCAGGCUCUUUAAG